AGAGAGAGACAUGCGCGCAUAUCAAUAAGCGGAGGAAAAGAAACUAACUAGGAUUCCCCUCAGUAACGGCGAGUGAAGCGGGAAGAGCUCAAAUUUGAAAUCUUCAAGGUUUUACCUUGACGAAUUGUAGUUUAAAGAAGUGUUUUCUGUUAGGAAGUUUGGUAAAAGUUCUUUGGAAUAGGACAUCAUAGAGGGUGAGAAUCCCGUAUUUGGUCAUUCCUCCUAGCGUUGUGAUACACUUUCAACGAGUCGGAUUGUUUGGGAAUGCAGUCCAAAAUGGGUGGUAAAUUUCAUCUAAAGCUAAAUAUUGGCGAGAGACCGAUAGCGAACAAGUACCGUGAGGGAAAGAUGAAAAGAACUUUGAAAAGAGAGUUAAACAGUACGUGAAAUUGUCAAAAGGGAAGCGUUUGACACCAGUGUUGUUUUUCCGAAAAUCAAUUACGAAUGUUUUAUUUUUGAGGAGUUAUGACUUCAUCGGCUUGCUCCUUUCUUUACGAAACUUUCUUAAUACACUUUUCGGUUAACAAGUCAACAUCAAUUUCUUUUGUUGUAAAAGGGUAUGAGGAAGGUGGCUUUCUUUUCGGAGAAAGUGUUUAUAGCCUUGUGCCUCUGCAAUCGGAGAGAUUGAGGUCUGCAGCGUAGAUCCUUCGGGGUUAGAUACGUUAGAUGCUAAGUUAUAGCUUUUUCAUAGACAACUUGUUGACUAUGUUUAGUCUUGUAGCUUACUCGCUGACGCUAUUUUACCUACGCUUAGGAUGUUGAUAGUCACAGCGUGUAC
This 778-nucleotide ribosomal RNA is filed under the name uncultured Neocallimastigales. Its description in RNAcentral is "partial large subunit ribosomal RNA". It matches the Rfam family "Eukaryotic large subunit ribosomal RNA", at positions 23 to 644 of the family's 3401-position model. Lineage: Eukaryota; Fungi; Neocallimastigomycota; Neocallimastigomycetes; Neocallimastigales. The record is from RNAcentral.